ACACAGCUGCUCACCAUGGAGAGUGUGCUCAGCUGGGUUUUCCUGGUGGCUGUUUUCAAAGCGAGCCAGUCAUCCCCGAGCCUCUUCCCCCUCAUUUCCUGUGAGAGUCCCUUGUCCGACGAGAGCCUGGUGACCGUGGGCUGCCUGGCCAAGGACUUCCUGCCCGACACAGCCACCUUCUCCUGGAACUUCAAGAACAACACAGCGAUCCGUCAGGGUGUCAGGACCUUCCCUUCGACGAUGGUGCAGGGCAAGUAUGCCGCCACCUCUCAGGUCCUGCUGUCCUCCAAGGACGCCUUUCAGGACCCCGACGAGUUCCUGGUGUGCAGAGUCCAGCAUGGCGGUAACAACAAACACAAGGAGGUGCCCCUCCCAGGUAUUGGAGUGGACCAGUCCCCCAACGUGAGUGUGUUCAUCCCAUCUCGAGACUCCUUCUCUGGUCCCGGCAAACGCGAGUCCAGCCUCAUCUGCCAGGCCACGGACUUCAGUCCCAAGCAGAUCACAGUGUCCUGGCUCCGGGAGGGAAAGGUCUUGACGUCUGGCUUCACUACGGGCCCAGUGACCGCAGAAGCCAGUGGGUCCCAACGCUCAACCUUCAAGGUCACCAGCACACUGACCAUCACUGAGAGCGACUGGCUGAGCCAGCACGUGUUCACCUGCCGCGUGGAUCACAGGGGACUCACCUUCCAGAAGAACGUGUCCUCCGUGUGUGGCACCACAAGUCCACCCACAGGCAUCCGGGUCUUCACCGUCCCCCCGACCUUUGCCGGCAUCUUCCUCACCAAAUCGGCCAAGCUGUCCUGCCUGGUCACAGACCUGGCCACCUACGACAGCCUGAUCAUCACCUGGGCCCGCCAGAAUGGAGAGGCUCUGAAAACCCACACCAACAUCUCCAGCAGCCACCCCAACGGCACCUUCAGUGCUGUGGGUGAGGCCAGUGUCUGCGUGGAAGACUGGGAGUCCGGGGAGCAGUUCACAUGCACAGUGACCCACAAUGACCUGCCCUCACCGCUGAAGGAGAUCAUCUCCAAGCCCAGGGAGGCGGCCAGGCACCCCCCGGCCGUGUACCUGCUGCCGCCAGCCCGGGAGCAGCUGCUCCUGCAGGAGUCGGCCACGGUCACCUGCCUGGUGAAGGGCUUCUCUCCCCCGGACGUCUUCGUGCAGUGGCUGCACCGGGGGCAGCCCGUGUCCUCAGACAAGUACGCGACAAGCGCCCCGACGCCUGAGCCCCAGGCCCCGGGCCUCUACUAUGCCCACAGCAUCCUGACAGUGACCGAGGAAGACUGGAACUCAGGCGAGGUCUUCGCCUGCGUCGUAGGCCACGAGGCCCUGCCACACAUGGUGACCGAGAAGACUGUGGACAAGUCCACUGAGGGGGAGGUGAGCGCCGAGGAGGAGGGCUUCGAGAACCUGUGGACCACUGCCUCCACCUUCAUCGUCCUCUUCCUCCUGAGCCUCUUCUACAGCACCACCGUCACCCUGUUCAAGGUGAAGUGACUUAUCUGGGGAUGGACGUCGGAGGUCAAGAGACUGACCGACCCGCAGGGGCACUGCCUCUGGGCCAGGGCAAGACAGCCUUGUGGCCCAUGGACUUGGACCUGAAUCCUCCCUGGGUGGCCCUCCAGCUUUGCACUCUAGGUCGCAGGCUGCUUUUGACACUGGCCCCAGCCCUGGGCCUGCUGUCCGCCCUGCUUUGCCCAGCGCGUGCGUGUAGCCUGACACCAAUACAGUUGUCCUCUGCUGAAA
Non-coding RNA from Marmota monax (woodchuck), 1746 nucleotides. The record is from the annotation of a RefSeq genome assembly. Lineage: Eukaryota; Metazoa; Chordata; Mammalia; Rodentia; Sciuridae.